Molecule: unclassified non-coding RNA, 41 nt
Filed under: Pfiesteria piscicida
Lineage: Eukaryota; Dinophyceae; Peridiniales; Pfiesteriaceae
Source: RNAcentral
CCGUAGCCAUUUUGGCUCAAGGUAAACGCUUGGCCCGGGCG